CAUCAAGCAUGUUCAAGGCUGGCCUGCAGAACAUGUGGAGAAGCAGGUGUCUCGGUUGCGUGAGGAUAUCCACAACAUGGGAACCCUGUAUAUGUCCGAGAUCUGCACCGAGCUCAAGAAUCUUCGCUCUUUAGUGCGAGUGUGUGAAAUCCAAGCCACGCUGAGAGAGCAGAGGAUCCUGUUUCUGAGACAGCAGAUCAAAGAACUCGACAAGCUGAAGAAUCAGAACUCGUUCAUGGUUUGAGAGCCGGUCGUGGAGCUCACGGCAAGUCUCUCUCCGAACCAGCCGCGUUCGGACCCCGGCUCUCAGCCCCCCCGAGCUCUCAGAUCCGCAGCCCCCAACGGCAGGCUGCAAUUCCAGCAACGGGAACCGAGAGGAAAAGGAAGCUCACAAAAAAGGCCAAUUAAUUUCGCUCUCCUUCGAUGUACAUGGCUUCUCUAUUCUUAAGAUCCACAGGCAAUUAAAGAGAGUUCUCGAACCCGUGAUGGAAACAUGCAGUGGAUCUGCUGGUCCAUAUACUGCUUCUUUAAGGUUAUGCCUGUGAUUUUUCUGUCACACUGGAGACUUAAUAUUCCCCCUUAACUCCAGUGAUUGACAGGAAUAUGAAUGAAGGGCUAUCUGUGCACAAGGGACGCUUCUGGAUGCGCUGGUAUUUAAUAAAGUGACCAACUUAAAAUAAACCCAAUACACACCCAUUCAAUCGAGUUGGGCAUUCCUUGGAAAACAGGAAUGUAAAGGGGAUCUUCCUUAAUUGACGGUGGGUGCCGACGAUUUCUCACAUUACUGACGUGGCACUUAAAAGCUUUCGUCGAAGCGGUAGAUGCACAUUUUGAGUUUUGCGACGCCCCCGAUUAAAAGGGUUUCGUCACUUUCUGCCUUCGAUGUUUCUCGUUCUUCGCAGUGCUGUUACACAUCUAACUGAGAUUACUUUUCAUGCUGCACUCUUUGACGCUCUUUGUUUUUGUACUAAUGUCGUUUUUUGAUUCGUUCGUAACCGUUCACUUCUUACUCAUAGCAUUGAUUUCAGUCAUUCCCGUCUUUGCGCAGCACAGGAGGAUGAAAGAAGUGUUGAAAUAAGUGCACUAAGCAGAGAAGACCUUGAGGACAGUCCAUGCCAGGGUAUGCAUUUCUUUCUUUUUACAUGAAAAUACAUCAACCAGUCUUUAAAACUGAACUGUAAGCAUUUAGUCAACUUGUCAGUUUGUGUUUGGCGAGUAUAUGGAGGAAAUAUUAAAAAAAAAGGCAGAUUUGGUGAUUCCUCUUUGAUGUUUGCAAUGUCAUUCAUAGGUUUUUGCUCCAUUCUUUCUGGCUUCACUGCCCUUUCACGCAGGGCUUUCGAACUUAGACCAAUUUUAAUGCUAUAGACUGUAAAUGGAGUUCACUUUCAGACUAGAGAUGAUGAUGGGUAUGAUGCUUUGUAUAUGGUUUCUAAAGGCUACAUGAAAUAAACAAUUACCACAUUA
Long non-coding RNA from Danio aesculapii, 1464 nucleotides. RefSeq lists it as uncharacterized. The record is from RefSeq and is a predicted model, not a curated record. The transcript has 3 exons. NCBI's taxonomy places the organism in Eukaryota, Metazoa, Chordata, Actinopteri, Cypriniformes, Danionidae.